AGCCGGUCCCCUGUGUGGCGAUUCGUUGUGAACCCGGUCAGGUCCGGAAGGAAGCAGCCGCAGCAGCUACAUUGGGUGCAUAGGUGUGGCUGGCUGGU
RNAcentral lists this signal recognition particle RNA (98 nucleotides) under Acidiferrobacteraceae bacterium. RNAcentral describes it as "signal recognition particle sRNA small type". It matches the Rfam family "Bacterial small signal recognition particle RNA". From Rfam's summary of the family: The signal recognition particle (SRP) is a universally conserved ribonucleoprotein involved in the co-translational targeting of proteins to membranes. Archaeal SRP consists of a 7S RNA and homologues of the eukaryotic SRP19 and SRP54 proteins. In most bacteria, the SRP consists of a 4.5S RNA and the Ffh protein (a homologue of the eukaryotic SRP54 protein). Lineage: Bacteria; Pseudomonadati; Pseudomonadota; Gammaproteobacteria; Acidiferrobacterales; Acidiferrobacteraceae. The record is from RNAcentral.